AGCGAACGCUGGCGGCAGGCCUAACACAUGCAAGUCGAACGAACUCUUCGGAGUUAGUGGCGGACGGGGGAGUAACACGUGGGAACGUGCCUUUAGGUUCGGAAUAACUCAGGGAAACUUGUGCUAAUACCGAAUGUGCCCUUCGGGGGAAAGAUUUAUCGCCUUUAGAGCGGCCCGCGUCUGAUUCGCUGGUUGGUAAGGUAAAGGCUCACCAAGGCGACGAUCAGUAGCUGGUCUGAGAGGAUGAUCAGCCACAUUGGGACUGAGACACGGCCCAAACUCCUACGGGAGGCAGGAGUGGGGAAUCUUGCGCAAUGGGCGAAAGCCUGACGCAGCCAUGCCGCGUGAAUGAUGAAGGUCUUAGGAUUGUAAAAUUCUUUCACCGGGGACGAUAAUGACGGUACCCGGAGAAGAAGCCCCGGCUAACUUCGUG
This 433-nucleotide ribosomal RNA is filed under the name uncultured bacterium. RNAcentral describes it as "partial 16S ribosomal RNA". It matches the Rfam family "Bacterial small subunit ribosomal RNA", at positions 29 to 507 of the family's 1533-position model. The record is from RNAcentral.